GUGUCAGCAGCCGCGGUAAUACGGAGGGUGCGAGCGUUGUCCGGAAUCACUGGGCGUAAAGGGCGCGUAGGCGGCCCGGCAAGUCAACGGUGAAAGCUUGGGGCUCAACCCCGAGUCGGCCGUCGAUACUUCCGGGCUGGAGCACUGUAGAGGCAGGUGGAAUUCCGGGUGUAGCGGUGGAAUGCGUAGAGAUCCGGAAGAACACCGGUGGCGAAGGCGGCCUGCUGGGCAGUAGCUGACGCUGAGGCGCGACAGCGUGGGGAGCAAACAGGAUUAGAUACCCUGGUAGUCCACGCCGUAAACGAUGGGCACUAGGUGCUUGGGGGAGCGACCCCCUGAGUGCCGGCGCUAACGCAUUAAGUGCCCCGCCUGGGGAGUACGGCCGCAAGGCUGAA
Molecule: ribosomal RNA, 395 nt
Filed under: uncultured bacterium
Lineage: Bacteria
Description: bacterial SSU rRNA
Rfam family: Bacterial small subunit ribosomal RNA
Source: RNAcentral